GCCCCCUCUGCCCGGCCCCGCGUUCGCGGCAUUUCUCACGUCCAUCUGCUCGCUCCCCAGUCUGGCCCGUGUAAGGGCCUCAGUACACCGGACGGGCUCAUGAAGCAUCUUUUUAAAGGUUAAUGGUCACUGGCGAGGGAACAAAGGGCCGCUGCGCACCUCCGCCUCUUUGAUGAUGUGGAGUUUUCAAUUAAGUGAAAACGGGAGGCGUGUCUCCUCACAGGUGCCUGGUCUGAGCACCAAGCAGCCAAGGUAGCCGCGGGGUGUCUCGAGGCUGGAACCGUCAGGCCAGAAUGUGGGCUGUCAGAAGAAAGAACACCGUUGCAAAUCUGAUCAGAUCUCCCCUGUGGUCCUGAAAUCGCUGGAGAGGGGAUUCACAUCCAGGACUCUGGGAGAAAGGCUACAGUCGCGGUCUCCAGUGUGCCAGGCAGAGCGGACAGCAAGUGAGAAGGCCCAGAGGAGGGAACAGGCCCGGAGAAUUGAGCGGCCAGAAAUGAGGCCAGUGUGCAUGAGGCAGAAGGAACAGGGAGAGUGGUGGGUGAUGGGGACACGGAGAGACUUCACCAACAGCAAGAAGAACAGAGUUAUUACUGCAAUGACAGAGGACUGGUUUCUGUGAGAAUCUAAACCAGGCUACAGAACAGAGAGAUCCUGCUUGUGCAUGAGGUCAAUACAGAGGGAAACAGCCAAACCUUGGAGAGAAAUGGAGUCUUAAAGACUUGACUUGAGCUCCUG
This 735-nucleotide long non-coding RNA is filed under the name Bos indicus x Bos taurus (hybrid cattle). RNAcentral describes it as "lncRNA (ENSBIXG00005000049.1)". Lineage: Eukaryota; Metazoa; Chordata; Mammalia; Artiodactyla; Bovidae. The record is from RNAcentral.